CGCUCGCGGCCGCUCCCCUCAGUGAGCGCGGGGCAGUGGGACGAGCCCGUUCCUCGCAGCAGUAGCUGCAGCUGCUUCGGGGAGAGUUUCAUCGAGGGCCGAGAGGCAGCGCUGGGCUGGGCUCUGCUCUGCUCCUCCCGGCAGCCGAGGCGCUUUCCCCGCCCCCAAGCCCCGGAGCCGCGCGUGGCCGGGCAGACUAGAAAGACAACUAAAGUUCAUUUAAUGAAGCAAAAGUAAAAAUGGAAAAAGAAACACUGAAUGAUAGUCAAAGUACAGACAGAUGUAGUACUGAAAUCUCACCUGCAGCUUGACUCCUGAUCCUAGAUGAGAUGACUUGUUCCCUGAAUCUUCCCAAGACUUGGAGACAUGGACUGG
Gavialis gangeticus (Gharial) is the source of this 375-nucleotide long non-coding RNA. RefSeq lists it as uncharacterized. The record is from RefSeq and is a predicted model, not a curated record. Lineage: Eukaryota; Metazoa; Chordata; Crocodylia; Gavialidae. The transcript has 3 exons.